Molecule: long non-coding RNA, 555 nt
Filed under: Mytilus galloprovincialis (Mediterranean mussel)
Lineage: Eukaryota; Metazoa; Mollusca; Bivalvia; Mytilida; Mytilidae
Source: RNAcentral
CCCUUAUACAUAGUAUUGUCCAGCUGCCAGUGAAACAAGAAAUAGCUGUUCAGGGUGUUUACAGUUUAAAUUUUCAGAGGGAUAUGUUGUUUUUUUCUUCACAUGACCCUUCAAGAUUCUCAUUUUGGAUUAUUAUUUGCAAUGUUUUAAAUCUUUUGGUGUCAUUGUGCAUACAAUAUUGGAUUUAUUUUAUUUGAAUUCACUACUCAGACUUUUUAUAGCAAUUUUGCUUCUUAAAAUGUGAUGUGUUUCUUUCAAGAUUUUAUUGUCAUGAAGGACAUCAAGGAGGAAAUAAUUCAUUCAAACCGUUUUGUGGGGCUUACAUAUGAUGUUGUACAUAUAAAAUUCGAAAUAAUUUUGGAGUAUACCUUGCUGUGUUUUUUCUUUGAAAUCUAUUAUAAUAUUAGUGGGAGUUUUGUGCAUAAAAUGCUGUGUUCACUAAAGGAAUUCAAAUUUUUCAUACGAUGGGAUUUAGUUAUGUCAAAGAUUUAAAGAUUUCAAAACUGGAAUUCAAGUAGGAGAUAUAGUGUGAGUUCAUCCAACAUGUUUCUGUGG